This 324-nucleotide ribosomal RNA is filed under the name uncultured eukaryote. Its description in RNAcentral is "partial 18S ribosomal RNA". It matches the Rfam family "Eukaryotic small subunit ribosomal RNA", at positions 1470 to 1796 of the family's 1831-position model. The record is from RNAcentral.
CCCUUAGAUGCCCUGGGCUGCACGCGCGCUACACUGAUGUGUCCAGUAAGCACCUAACCUCUUCCGAAAGGAACGGGUAACCUUUGCAAAGCACAUCGUGAUGGGGAUAGAUUAUUGCAAUUAUUAGUCUUGAACGAGGAAUUCCUAGUAAGCACAAGUCAUCAGCUUGUGUUGAUUACGUCCCUGCCCUUUGUGCACACCGCCCGUCGCUCCUACCGAUUGAAUGUUCCGGUGAGCUCUUCGGACUGCGCGGUCUGCAGUUUCUGCGUUCCGUGCGGAAAGUUGCGCAAACCUUAACAUUUAGAGGAAGGAGAAGUCGUAACA